This 21-nucleotide non-coding RNA is filed under the name Caenorhabditis elegans. Lineage: Eukaryota; Metazoa; Nematoda; Chromadorea; Rhabditida; Rhabditidae. The record is from RNAcentral.
UUUUCUUGCAACGUACUUUUA